Molecule: long non-coding RNA, 335 nt
Organism: Bombina bombina (fire-bellied toad)
Lineage: Eukaryota; Metazoa; Chordata; Amphibia; Anura; Bombinatoridae
Exons: 2
Source: RefSeq, a predicted model, not a curated record
ACGGUCGUGAUAUUCAAAGUUGCCCUCUUAACCGCUGCUCCUUAACUUGUCCACCUGCUCUGAGGCUGCGGACAUCAAUCCGCCCGAUCGCAUAUGAGGAAUAUCUGUGCCUCUGAACCUUUGUUAAACAGCUGCAAGGUUCCCUUCCCACAUUAACAAUCAACCUGGCUCUUGCAAUGGCGACCGUCUAAAUGGAAGAUCAUAUUGAACGUGGUAGCAGAUCUACAAAAGGCUAAUUUAUCUUGCCACCAACUAGCCAUUAUUCCACUACCUUUAACAAUUAAUAAAGCAAGAACUGUAAAUUCAGUCAAUAUCAAGAUGCUUUUCACAGCUUU